UAGCCCGCCGGAUGAGGAGACCCACGCGUCGCGGUCAGGCCCAGGAGGCAGCCAGGCCUGAAGCACCCUGAGUCAAUGAACCAGUAAAUGGGAGGUGGAGGUUGAGUUGCAAAAGCGAAGUGCUUUCUUGCGUGCUCAUCUGCCAACAGGCCAGUAUCCUGAGAAGAGAUCUAAGCUCCAUCAUGCUGCUGAUGCACCCACGACACACAGAGGCCAGAAGACUCUUUAGGGAAAACUCCAAUGAGAUUCUCCUUCUCCAACUCAUCUUGAUUCUGCACCAGCCUAACAUGGUCACUCCCAGCAUUUCAUUUCCACUUCUGAAUUCAGCCCAAGAAGCACACAUUGCCUAGGAACUGAAGAAGGAACAUACGUGAACCAUGGGACAGAAACAAAAUGAGAAGGAAGAGGGGGAGAAGAAAGAGUACAGGCAGGGAGGGAGGGAGCAGAUUGGUGAUUUUAAGUGUGGUUGGAGGGGCACAUGGGGGAAUCAGCCUCUCUGGGACACAGGGCUUCCUUUGCGUUGGUGACUAUUAUAUAACUAGACAGAGGUGACACAGCACUGCACAUGUUCUAAAUGUCACCAAAUUGUACAUUGCAAAGGGUUCAUUUUAAUGUGAGAAUUCAAGUAAGAUAUAAAAUGCAAUAAUACGCCAAAUAAUAGAAAACUCCAUAACCACCCAUGCUGUGAAUUAUUUGAGGUCCCCACUUGGAAAAAUAAAGGGAAAAUACUCCAAGGUUUAGAACAUGUUUCUCUCACACACACCCCUCGCCCGCCCUCCCCACCUCGUUAGUGCCUACUGAAGUUUCAGAUUGUUUGUGAAAUUGCUAAUGUGUACUUUAGCCUCCACAUUAAAUUCUGGUUUGUACUUAAGCAUAUUAAAACACACCACUAAAUACUCACCUGACAA
Grammomys surdaster is the source of this 908-nucleotide long non-coding RNA. RefSeq lists it as uncharacterized. The transcript is spliced from 2 exons. NCBI's taxonomy places the organism in Eukaryota, Metazoa, Chordata, Mammalia, Rodentia, Muridae. The record is from RefSeq and is a predicted model, not a curated record.